AAGAUUCGUCUGGGUAAAACAGAGAACAUCGUCAACCGUUCACAUUCGUUAGUGCUGGAAUGCUGGAUCCGGGUCACGCUUGUGCGGUGGGUGAAGAGAUUGACAGUGACUGCGAGCUUGACUCGUGGGUAAAAUCGUGCGUACCAGGGAACUGGAAGGCCUCAAAGAUCAUCAUUGUCACUCAUCGUGAAGAGUAAUAUUUCUGUUUUUCAAUUCUGUUUGCAUGAAGG
RNAcentral lists this long non-coding RNA (230 nucleotides) under Lathyrus oleraceus (garden pea). RNAcentral's name for it is "Pisum sativum (pea) long non-coding RNA (PSAT_LNC017866)". Lineage: Eukaryota; Viridiplantae; Streptophyta; Magnoliopsida; Fabales; Fabaceae. The record is from RNAcentral.